GUGCCAGCCGCCGCGGUAAUACGGAGGGGGCAAGCGUUGUUCGGAUUUACUGGGCGUAAAGGGUGUGUAGGCGGUUGCGCAAGUCUGGUGUGAAAUCUUCACCGCUUAACGGGAAGAGGUCACUGGAAACUGCGUAACUCGAGUAUGGUAGAGGCAAGCGGAAUUCCUGGUGUAGCGGUGGAAUGUGUAGAUAUCAGGAAGAACACCGGUGGCGAAGGCGGCUUGCUGGGCCAUCACUGACGCUGAGACACGAAAGCGUGGGGAGCAAACGGGAUUAGAAACCCCGGUAGUCC
Molecule: ribosomal RNA, 293 nt
Filed under: uncultured bacterium
Lineage: Bacteria
Description: partial 16S ribosomal RNA
Rfam family: Bacterial small subunit ribosomal RNA
Source: RNAcentral